Molecule: long non-coding RNA, 495 nt
Organism: Nothoprocta perdicaria
Lineage: Eukaryota; Metazoa; Chordata; Aves; Tinamiformes; Tinamidae
Exons: 3
Source: RefSeq, a predicted model, not a curated record
UGUGGUUGCAGGGCUUGCAGGUGCUGCCCAUCUUCCCAUCUCAGCUCCAAGCAGGUCUCCUGGGAGCACCUGCCAAGCAUUCCCUCUCAUUUCAAGCCUGGCUGUUCCUGCUGAGAAAGUCUGAUGAAGCUUCGAGUCUGGGUCAAGGGACAGAGAUUGCUGGCUGAGAGGCAGAGGUCUGAGCCCAAAGAAAACAUGUCUGAAGCAGCAGUGUAACUGCUUUGGCCGGGCUUUCCGCGUUUUCCCAGACUGCUCGCGGAGCCUGCAGGAUCCGGAGGGGCUGCAAGUGUGAGGUGACUUUCACGGCAUCAAUGAGCAGCUGUAAAAGAACUUUCUGCCUCUCCCAGCAGUUAAUAACUUCACUGCGCACAGCUUAGCUUUUCAAAAAGACCUAAUGUGUUUUUUGGCYGCCUGAGGACGGCGGAGGAAUGUUCCUGGUAACAGGGAGAAUUAUUUUUAAGGGGGGAGGAAAAAGUAAAAACAAACCCUCAAACA